This 2073-nucleotide ribosomal RNA is filed under the name Candidatus Electrothrix gigas. RNAcentral describes it as "partial 23S ribosomal RNA". It matches the Rfam family "Bacterial large subunit ribosomal RNA", at positions 1 to 2049 of the family's 2925-position model. Lineage: Bacteria; Pseudomonadati; Thermodesulfobacteriota; Desulfobulbia; Desulfobulbales; Desulfobulbaceae. The record is from RNAcentral.
UAUGGUUAAGCUUUUAAGGGCUGACGGCGGAUGCCUUGGCACCAGGAGGCGAUGAAGGACGCGGAAAGCUGCGAUAAGCUUCGGUGAGCUGCUAACAGGCUUUGACCCGGAGAUUUCCGAAUGGGGAAACCCGGCAGAGGUAAUGCUUUGUCAUCGUUCAAUGAAUACAUAGUUGGACGAAGCGAACGGGGGGAAGUGAAACAUCUCAGUACCCCCAGGAAUAGAAAUCAAUUGAGAUUCCGUGAGUAGCGGCGAGCGAAAGCGGAAGAGCCCAAACCAGUCAAUUUAUUGGCUGGGGUUGUAGGACCCCGAUGUGGGAUUGGUGAGAAAUAGCGGAAAGGUCUGGAAAGGCCUGCCAGAGACGGUGAUAGUCCGGUACGCAAAAUUUUGAUCCACCCUAGGGAGUUCCUGAGUACCACGAGACACGUGAAACCUUGUGGGAAUCUGGGAGGACCAUCUUCCAAGGCUAAAUACUACCUGGUGACCGAUAGUGAACGAGUACCGUGAGGGAAAGGUGAAAAGAACCCCGGGAGGGGAGUGAAAUAGAAACUGAAACCGUCAGCUUACAAGCAGUUGGAGCAUUAAUUUAUUAGUGUGACAGCGUGCCUUUUGCAUAAUGAGUCAACGACUUACCCUAUGUAGCAAGGUUAAGCCGUUAGGUGGAGCCGCAGCGAAAGCGAGUCUUAAACGGGCGUGUAGUUACAUGGGGUAGACCCGAAGCCGGGUGAUCUAUCCAUGUCCAGGGUGAAGUUUCGGUAACACGAAAUGGAGGCCCGAACCGAUAUAGGUUGAAAACUGUUCGGAUGAGGUGUGGAUAGGAGUGAAAGGCUAAUCAAACUCGGUGAUAGCUGGUUUUCUCCGAAAUAUAUUUAGGUAUAGCCUUGCGUGAUGACUGUUGGAGGUAGAGCACUGACAGGACUAGGGGUCCCACCGGAUUACCAACUCCUUUCAAACUCCGAAUGCCAACAAGUUCUAGCGCAGGAGUCAGACUGCGGGAGAUAAGUUCCGUAGUCGAGAGGGAAAGAACCCAGACCGCCGAUUAAGGUCCCUAAAUUUGCACUAAGUGGGAAAGGAGGUGGAAUUGCACAGACAACCAGGAGGUUGGCUUAGAAGCAGCAACCCUUUAAAGAAAGCGUAAUAGCUCACUGGUCUAGUGAAUCCGCGCCGAAAAUGUAACGGGGCUGAAGUGCAAUACCGAAAUCGCGGAAUGAAAUUUAUUUCAUUGGUAGGAGAACAUUGUGUAGGCCUGAGAAGGUGUAUGGUAACGUAUGCUGGAGGUAUCACAAGAGCUUAUGUUGACACGAGUAGCGAUAAAGGGAGCGAGAAACUCCCUCGCCGUAAGUCCAAGGUUUCCUCAGGUCAAGUUAAUCUUCCGAGGGUUAGUCGGCCCCUAAGGCGAGGCUGAAAAGCGUAGUCGAUGGGAAACAGGUUAAUAAUCCUGUACCGCUGGUAUGGAGUUACUGUAUAAGGGGGGACGGAGAAGGAUAGACUAUCCGUCUGUUGGAAUAGACGGUUUAAGCAUGUAGGCUUGAAACUUUGGUAAAUCCGGGUUUCUUUCAGGCUGAGAUGUGAUGACGAGUCCCUAACGGGACACAAAGUAGUUGAUUCCAAGCUUCCUGGAAAAUCCUCGUAUACAUUCAUACUGGUGACCGUACCGCAAACCAACACAGGUGGACAGGUAGAGAAUACCAAGGCGCUUGAGAGAACUCUGGUUAAGGAACUCGGCAAAAUAGCACCGUAACUUCGGGAGAAGGUGUGCCUCUGUUACGUGAAGUCAUUUACUGAUUGAGCGGAAGGAGGUUGCAGUGAAAUGGGGGGAGCGACUGUUUACUAAAAACACAGGACUAUGCGAAGUCGUAAGACGAUGUAUAUGGUCUGACGCCUGCCCGGUGCCGGAAGGUUAAGGGGACUUGUCAGCGCAAGCGAAGCAAUGAACCGAAGCCCCGGUAAACGGCGGCCGUAACUAUAACGGUCCUAAGGUAGCGAAAUUCCUUGUCGGGUAAGUUCCGACCUGCACGAAUGGCGUAACGAUUUCCCCACUGUCUCAACCAGAGACUCAGCGAAACUGUAGUA